UGGUGUACUAGCAAAACCAUUAACAGAUUUAUUUAACCAAUCAUUAUUAACAGGAGUAGUCCCAGAAGAUUGGAAGUUAGCGAAUGUUGUGCCCAUUCACAAGAAAGGUAGUAGGGAAGAGUCGGGCAACUAUAGGCCAGUAAGCCUUACUUCAGUAGUGGAGAAAGUAAUGGAAACCAUGUUAAAGGAUAGGAUUGUUGAACAUCUAAAAUCACAUGGAUUUCAGGAUUUCAAGAUCAGAGACAACAUGGGUUUACUUCAGGGAGAUCAUGCCAAACUAAUCUUAUAGAUUUUUUUUGAUUGGGUAACUAAAAUAAUAGAUCAUGGUGGUGCAGUAGACAUUGCUUACCUAGAUUUCAGUAAGGCUUUUGACACUGUUGCACAUAGAAGGCUUAUCAAUAAACUGCAAUCUUUAAGUUUGGAUUCUAAUAUUGUUGAAUGGGUAAGGCAGUGGCUGAGUGACAGGCAACAGAUGGUUGUAGUCAAUGGAGUAUAUUCGAAGCAUGGGCUUGUCACCAGUGGGGUACCCCAGGGAUUUCUACUUGGACCCAUUCUCUUAAAUAUUUUUCUUAGUGAAAUUGCAGAAGGUCUGUCUGGUAAGGUAUGUCUUUUUGCUGAUGAUACUAAGAUAUGUAACAGGGUUGAUGUUCCAGGAGGGAUAAGCCAAAUGGCAAAUGAUUUAGGUAAACUAGAAAAAUGGUCAAAGUUGUGGCAACUGACAUUUAAUGUGGAUAAGUGCAAGAUAAUGCAUCUUGGACGUAAAAACCCAAGGGCAGAGUACAGAAUAUUUGAUAGAGUCCUAACCUCAACAUCUGAGGAAAGGGAUUUAGG
Molecule: non-coding RNA, 831 nt
Organism: Pelobates cultripes (western spadefoot toad)
Lineage: Eukaryota; Metazoa; Chordata; Amphibia; Anura; Pelobatidae
Source: the annotation of a GenBank genome assembly